GUCACAUAACCGCUCCACUAUAUGUGGACAUGAUUGAAUGGUCGAUACUAGUAAUUACCAGGCAGUGAUUUUCGUGUGUUUUUCAUUGAAUUUUUGUUGUCUACAAUACCCCUGCCAACACAAGUACUACUGGAUCUUAGCAUCUAAUUUUGUCUGAAGGAGAGCAGCAAUGUUUAAUGAGACUUUGAUGAAGAUUCAUGAAAAUGUUUUAUUCGAAAGUCACAAGCAAUAAUCUCUUUUUGUGUAAACAAAGUUCCUUAAAGUGCCUUCCUUAUUAAAGCCAAUUGAAAGUGAUUCAGUUAAUUAAUUUUCAUAGAAGCAUCUAUAAGACGUGUAUGAUUUGAUCAAUGAUGAAUAAUGAUCAGCAACAAUUAGCAGUUUUUUUUUAACUUUUACAAGUAGGCCAAUAGAAAAGCUACUCGUACAUGACAAUUAGAAUUUUUUAUCUCCCUAUCUUUUUUAAGGAUUUCUGUAGAAUCUUUGUCAUUCUGUUCCUCAUUUUAAACACUUUUGAAUUAAAUGUAAUUAAAAGAAUAAACUACCCAUUCAUGGUAACUCUUCAACACAAUCUUUCAACUUCCAUGCAGAUUCAGCAACACCACUGCAUGGAAUAAGAGACAGUAAGAUUUCAUUUGAAUGCUACGAGGAUGAACCUUUCAGAGUCGGGUACCACCAGAGAGGAACGACACAUUGCCUGUACCUUUUAGAAUAUGCAUGCAGAAGAAGCAACUAUAUCACAGUCAUCCGUGUGCAGAAUCAUCAACGAUUUUUCUGAGGCAAUAGCAAGAAGUAACAGACAGUUAAUGAACGAGAAAUUGAAACCACCCAGCGACAAUUUGAUGAUUGCUGCAUGUUUCCAAGAGUCUUAGGUGAUAUCGAUUGGGGCCAUGUCUACAUCAGGAGUCCUGGUGGGGAACAAGCCCUGUACUUAACAGGAAGAACAGGUCCUCUGUAAAUGUAUAGGUAUCCGUUGCUCCCCUCUUUGAUGAAUUCCUGCCAGCAUUCUGUUGUCAAUAAAAAAGGACGGUGUGUUACGGGUAUUAAGCAUUCCAUUGGAUUAUUUAUGCAUAAAAGUGGAUACUUGUGAUAAAAAAUGGUAGCUUAGUUGAUAGGAUGUUUUCAUGCAUUCCAGUUUAUUAUUAGUGAUCAAAUGACCAUCUUGCUUUUUAAAACCAAAAUUCACAAUAUUUUUCUUGUUUGAAAAAACGUUUGGGACUUCUGGGAAUUCCAGGAUAUAAAUGACACACAUGGUGGGCUAAUGUAUAAGCAGGGACGUGAGAGGUAUAAGCAACAUUUUUCUCAUGCUUAACUAAGUUUGGCAUGAGAUGGACUUGGUAAUUCUUAUGAUUCGUGUCUAUUGUAUACCCAUUUUUUUUUAAUCAACAAUCAAUGUUUGAAGCCUCAUGAUUUUAAUUUCAAAACCUCUUUGUUCAUUAAACGGUCAUUUUUCUUAGCGUAUGCAGCUCCAUAAUUUAUCAAAUUUAAAUUAUAUAAUAUCAUUUUUGCUGAAUAUCUUUUUUCUUUCCACCUAUUUCCAUAGGCACUAAGUUACAUUUUUGUAGUAAGCACUAUAUACAUUGCAAGCUAUUAUCAUUUGUUUAAUAUUACUAUUUUAUGAUAGAAUCAUUAUUUAAUUUCUUUCAGAAAUAUAUUUGACGUAUUACUUGUGAUAUUCAUGCUCUAGCUGUAGAGCUUAAUACCUUUCAUUAAACUUUUUUUUAUCCAUUAUAUAUCUAUUCUUAUUCAGAGUUUUUGAUGCAUUGUUAAGAAAACGUAAACAGUCAAUUCAAUCUUCGUAUCAUUAUGUAAAGAAUUUCAAUCUACUCUAAAAAAUAAUGUACGAAAUAAACUGCUCUGUCUACUACACAUGUACGGUUACACUUCGUAAUUCCGAAGGUUCGUAAUUCCGAAGGUUCUUUAUUCCGAAGGUUCGUAAUUCCGAAACACGCAAAUUGCCUAUACCUCGAUGUUCGUUAAUCCGAAAACGUAAAAGGGUUCGUUAAUCCGAACAUUUGUGGCGUUAUUCCGAAGGUUCGUUAUUCCGAAGGUUCGAUAAUCCGAAAACGAAAUAA
Long non-coding RNA from Lytechinus pictus (painted urchin), 2072 nucleotides. RefSeq lists it as uncharacterized. The transcript is spliced from 3 exons. Lineage: Eukaryota; Metazoa; Echinodermata; Echinoidea; Temnopleuroida; Toxopneustidae. The record is from RefSeq and is a predicted model, not a curated record.